RNAcentral lists this non-coding RNA (52 nucleotides) under Homo sapiens (human). Lineage: Eukaryota; Metazoa; Chordata; Mammalia; Primates; Hominidae. The record is from RNAcentral.
ACUAAAAAUACAAAAAUUAGCCGGGCAUGGUGGUGCGCGCCUGUAGUCCCAG